UACGUAGGGUGCGAGCGUUAAUCGGAAUUACUGGGCGUAAAGCGUGCGCAGGCGGCGCGUUAAGACAGGUGUGAAAGCCCCGAGCUUAACUUGGGAAUUGCGCUUGUGACUGGCGUGCUGGAGUGUGGCAGAGGGAGGUGGAAUUCCACGUGUAGCAGUGAAAUGCGUAGAGAUGUGGAGGAACACCGGUGGCGAAGGCGGCCACCUGGACGGUAACUGACGCUGAGACGCGAAAGCGUGGGGAGCAAACAGG
RNAcentral lists this ribosomal RNA (253 nucleotides) under uncultured bacterium. Its description in RNAcentral is "partial 16S ribosomal RNA". It matches the Rfam family "Bacterial small subunit ribosomal RNA", at positions 524 to 776 of the family's 1533-position model. The record is from RNAcentral.